UUCUAUUGGGACAACAAAUUGGGACAGCUACACUGUGGCCAACAUUGAAAAUUACAAUAGCAGCUUUCACUGUGAUCAUUAUGUUCCACAUCCUCUAUCAACUCUUUGUGAACAUCGCAGCUGCAUUUCAGACAACUGUUUACUGGGCAACAAACAGGAUUCUGGCAAUUUCUCAAGAAGCCAGAAGAAAAAAUCUUAUGAGGCAAUACACUGGGACAGCGACGCAGUGGGCAACAUUGCAAAUUACAGUAGCUGCUUUCACUGUGAUCUUUAUGUUCCACAUGCUCUAUCAACUCUUUGUGAGCAUCGCAGCUGCAUUUCGGACAAUUGUUUACUGGCCAAUAGACUGGAUUCUGGCAGUAAUUCAAGCAGCCAGAAGAAAAAUUCAGAUUGGACAACUAAUUGAGGCAGCUACAACCUGGGCAACAUUGAGAAUUACUGUGGCAGCUUACACUGUGAUCUUUAUGUUCCACAUGUUCUAUCAACUCUUUGAGAAGGUCACAGCUGAAACUUUUUACUGAGCAAUAGACUGAAUUAUGGCAGUUUUUCAAGAAGCCAAAAGAAGAAUUCAGAUUGGAUAACGAAUUUGUGCAGCUAUAACAUCAACAAUACCCAAGAUUUCACUCUACAACUGAUGAUGACUUCUCAGUUUACUGGAGCCA
Long non-coding RNA from Oreochromis aureus, 662 nucleotides. RefSeq lists it as uncharacterized. The record is from RefSeq and is a predicted model, not a curated record. Lineage: Eukaryota; Metazoa; Chordata; Actinopteri; Cichliformes; Cichlidae. The transcript has 3 exons.